CUAUACAGCUAUUUUUGAGAGUAUCUUAUGUGCAAGGCCAUGUGCUCAAUAUUCUGAGGACACAGAGACAAAAUACAUUUGGACAAUGCCUGCAAGGAGCUCACCCUCUAGCACAGGAGAAUAAAAACAGGAUCAGAGAGAUUGAGCCAUUUGCUUAAGGCUACACAGCUAGUAAGUGGUAUAGCUGGGAUUUGAACUCAGUUCUGCCUGAUCCCAGAGCCCCACUUCUUAGUGCUGAAUGUUGCCUCUAAAGGUUUCGUCCAAUGACUGACUGCUCGUGAACAUAUGAGAUCUGGCUAAAGAAUCGGGAUUUUCUGGGCCUCAGCAGGUGAUGAGAAAGGCAUGAGAACAGGCUGGAAGGAGAAUGAGGCACCGAGAGGCCCAAGCUGAAAGAAAUAAAGACUUCCAGUACAUCACCCUGACAGUAAAGAGCGAAGGAAAAGUGACGUCUGAGAACUACAAUGUGUUCUGCUUGAACAAAAGGAAGUUGGGCUGUGAUAAUAUAAUUCUGGAUUCCAUGGAAUGUUGUGGCUCAGAGAGGCAAGAGAUAAAAGACAGAGAAACAAUAUAGUGGAAUGUUCAGGGACCCUACUUGGCCCUCCCAGCAGCCACUGGCAAGGACCAUAGGACACAACAGAGACCGCCCUUUAGGGCAGAAGGGGAGCUGGUUUUCUCUCCAGGCUCACAGAUUGUCAAAUAUUAAGAAGUUGGAUGAAGAGCCAGUACUAAUCGUGGUGUAGGAAAAUGGACACGCUCACACACUGUUGCUAAGAAGAAAAAAACUCUGAGGUGUGAAAGCAAGUUCUUCUGGAGAAUUCCACCUGGCCAAAUGCAAUCUGCUUCUCAAAGGAAGCCUAUAGAAGUCAACUCCGGGUGCGUUUGCAAAAUUGCCCUUUACUAAUUUGGAGACGUAAGGUCUGAGAGCUUGAGUUUCUACAGAGAGAGUUGUGUGGGACCAAAACAGUCCUGGGAAUGGUUUUAAAGCUUCAUUAAGAUAAAACUCACAGAGAAAUGUUAGAAAGAUCUCAGUUCUCAUUAUACACUUUGUAAAAAAAUGUCUUUAUGGAUCAUUCAGUGUGGGCAAAGAAAAUGUAGGCGGAAAGGAAAUUUCCCAUUUAAUUAGCUGUGGUAGGCAGAAUUCUAAGACAGCCCCCAAGAUUCCUGUCCCCUGGUAUACAUGCCCUGUGUAAUCUCCUCCUCUUGAGUGUGGGCGGGGCUUGUGAAUAUGAUGUGUUUUCACUCCUGUGAUCACGUUAUGUUCUAUGGCA
Diceros bicornis minor is the source of this 1268-nucleotide long non-coding RNA. RefSeq lists it as uncharacterized. The record is from RefSeq and is a predicted model, not a curated record. The transcript has 8 exons. Lineage: Eukaryota; Metazoa; Chordata; Mammalia; Perissodactyla; Rhinocerotidae.